GAUGAAGGGCGUGCUAAUCUGCGAUAAGCGCCGGUAAGGUGAUAUGAACCGUUAUAACCGGCGAUACCCGAAUGGGGAAACCCAGUGUGACUCGUCACACUAUCAUUAACUGAAUCCAUAGGUUAAUGAGGCGAACCGGGGGAACUGAAACAUCUAAGUACCCCGAGGAAAAGAAAUCAACCGAGAUUCCCCCAGUAGCGGCGAGCGAACGGGGAGGAGCCCAGAGCCUGAAUCAGCAUGUGUGUUAGUGGAAGCGUCUGGAAAGGCGCGCGAUACAGGGUGACAGCCCCGUACACAAAAGCGCAUGUGCUGUGAGCUCGAUGAGUAGGGCGGGACACGUGGUAUCCUGUCUGAAUAUGGGGGGACCAUCCUCCAAGGCUAAAUACUCCUGACUGACCGAUAGUGAACCAGUACCGUGAGGGAAAGGCGAAAAGAACCCCGGCGAGGGGAGUGAAAAAGAACCUGAAACCGUGUACGUACAAGCAGUGGGAGCACAGGUUUACCUGUGUGACUGCGUACCUUUUGUAUAAUGGGUCAGCGACUUAUAUUCUGUAGCAAGGUUAACCGUAUAGGGGAGCCGUAGGGAAACCGAGUCUUAACCGGGCGUUAAGUUGCAGGGUAUAGACCCGAAACCCGGUGAUCUAGCCAUGGGCAGGUUGAAGGUUGGGUAACACUAACUGGAGGACCGAACCGACUAAUGUUGAAAAAUUAGCGGAUGACCUGUGGCUGGGGGUGAAAGGCCAAUCAAACCGGGAGAUAGCUGGUUCUCCCCGAAAGCUAUUUAGGUAGCGCCUCGUGAAUUCAUCUCCGGGGGUAGAGCACUGUUUCGGCUAGGGGGCCAUCCCGGCUUACCAACCCGAUGCAAACUGCGAAUACCGGAGAAUGUUAUCACGGGAGACACACGGCGGGUGCUAACGUCCGUCGUGAAGAGGGAAACAACCCAGACCGCCAGCUAAGGUCCCAAAGUCAUGGUUAAGUGGGAAACGAUGUGGGAAGGCCCAGACAGCCAGGAUGUUGGCUUAGAAGCAGCCAUCAUUUAAAGAAAGCGUAAUAGCUCACUGGUCGAGUCGGCCUGCGCGGAAGAUGUAACGGGGCUAAACCAUGCACCGAAGCUGCGGCAGCGACGCUGAUGCGUUGUUGGGUAGGGGAGCGUUCUGUAAGCCUGUGAAGGUGGCCUGUGAGGGUUGCUGGAGGUAUCAGAAGUGCGAAUGCUGACAUAAGUAACGAUAAAGCGGGUGAAAAGCCCGCUCGCCGGAAGACCAAGGGUUCCUGUCCAACGUUAAUCGGGGCAGGGUGAGUCGACCCCUAAGGCGAGGCCGAAAGGCGUAGUCGAUGGGAAACGGGUUAAUAUUCCCGUACUUGGUGUUACUGCGAAGGGGGGACGGAGAAGGCUAUGUUGGCCGGGCGACGGUUGUCCCGGUUUAAGCGUGUAGGUGUGUGUUCCAGGUAAAUCCGGUUCACUUUAACACUGAGGCGUGAUGACGAGGCACUACGGUGCUGAAGCAACAAAUGCCCUGCUUCCAGGAAAAGCCUCUAAGCAUCAGGUAACAUCAAAUCGUACCCCAAACCGACACAGGUGGUCAGGUAGAGAAUACCAAGGCGCUUGAGAGAACUCGGGUGAAGGAACUAGGCAAAAUGGUGCCGUAACUUCGGGAGAAGGCACGCUGACACGUAGGUGAAGUGAUUUACUCAUGGAGCUGAAGUCAGUCGAAGAUACCAGCUGGCUGCAACUGUUUAUUAAAAACACAGCACUGUGCAAACACGAAAGUGGACGUAUACGGUGUGACGCCUGCCCGGUGCCGGAAGGUUAAUUGAUGGGGUCAGCGCAAGCGAAGCUCCUGAUCGAAGCCCCGGUAAACGGCGGCCGUAACUAUAACGGUCCUAAGGUAGCGAAAUUCCUUGUCGGGUAAGUUCCGACCUGCACGAAUGGCGUAAUGAUGGCCAGGCUGUCUCCACCCGAGACUCAGUGAAAUUGAACUCGCUGUGAAGAUGCAGUGUACCCGCGGCAAGACGGAAAGACCCCGUGAACCUUUACUAUAGCUUGACACUGAACAUUGAGCCUUGAUGUGUAGGAUAGGUGGGAGGCUUUGAAGCGUGGACGCCAGUCUGCAUGGAGCCGGCCUUGAAAUACCACCCUUUAAUGUUUGAUGUUCUAACGUGGACCCGUGAUCCGGGUUGCGGACAGUGUCUGGUGGGUAGUUUGACUGGGGCGGUCUCCUCCUAAAGAGUAACGGAGGAGCACGAAGGUUGGCUAAUCCUGGUCGGACAUCAGGAGGUUAGUGCAAUGGCAUAAGCCAGCUUGACUGCGAGCGUGACGGCGCGAGCAGGUGCGAAAGCAGGUCAUAGUGAUCCGGUGGUUCUGAAUGGAAGGGCCAUCGCUCAACGGAUAAAAGGUACUCCGGGGAUAACAGGCUGAUACCGCCCAAGAGUUCAUAUCGACGGCGGUGUUUGGCACCUCGAUGUCGGCUCAUCACAUCCUGGGGCUGAAGUAGGUCCCAAGGGUAUGGCUGUUCGCCAUUUAAAGUGGUACGCGAGCUGGGUUUAGAACGUCGUGAGACAGUUCGGUCCCUAUCUGCCGUGGGCGCUGGAGAACUGAGGGGGGCUGCUCCUAGUACGAGAGGACCGGAGUGGACGCAUCACUGGUGUUCGGGUUGUCAUGCCAAUGGCACUGCCCGGUAGCUAAAUGCGGAAGAGAUAAGUGCUGAAAGCAUCUAAGCACGAAACUUGCCCCGAGAUGAGUUCUCCCUGAGACUUAGAGUCUCCUGAAGGAACGUUGAAGACGACGACGUUGAUAGGCCGGGUGUGUAAGCGCAGCGAUGCGUUGAGCUAACCGGUACUAAUGAACCGUGAGGCUUAACCUUACAACGCCGAAG
RNAcentral lists this ribosomal RNA (2873 nucleotides) under Salmonella enterica subsp. enterica serovar Choleraesuis. RNAcentral's name for it is "partial 23S ribosomal RNA". It matches the Rfam family "Bacterial large subunit ribosomal RNA". The record is from RNAcentral. Lineage: Bacteria; Pseudomonadati; Pseudomonadota; Gammaproteobacteria; Enterobacterales; Enterobacteriaceae.